This 433-nucleotide ribosomal RNA is filed under the name uncultured bacterium. Its description in RNAcentral is "partial 16S ribosomal RNA". It matches the Rfam family "Bacterial small subunit ribosomal RNA", at positions 29 to 507 of the family's 1533-position model. The record is from RNAcentral.
AGCGAACGCUGGCGGCAGGCCUAACACAUGCAAGUCGAACGGAUCAUUCGGGAUUAGUGGCGGACGGGUGAGUAACACGUGGGAACGUGCCCUUUGGUUCGGAACAACUCAGGGAAACUUGAGCUAAUACCGGAUGUGCCCUUCGGGGGAAAGAUUUAUCGCCAUUGGAGCGGCCCGCGUCUGAUUAGCUAGUUGGUGAGGUAACGGCCCACCAAGGCGACGAUCAGUAGCUGGUCUGAGAGGAUGAUCAGCCACACUGGGACUGAGACACGGCCCAGACUCCUACGGGAGGCAGCAGUGGGGAAUCUUGCGCAAUGGGCGAAAGCCUGACGCAGCCAUGCCGCGUGAAUGAUGAAGGUCUUAGGAUUGUAAAAUUCUUUCAGCGGGGACGAUAAUGACGGUACCCGCAGAAGAAGCGCCGGCUAACUUCGUG